GCGGGAACUUCACUCCAACCCCUGUGACAUACCACUUGUUGCCUCGGCGGAUCAGCCCGCUCCCGGUAAAACGGGACGGCCCGCCAGAGGACCCCUAAACUCUGUUUCUAUAUGUAACUUCUGAGUAAAACCAUAAAUAAAUCAAAACUUUCAACAACGGAUCUCUUGGUUCUGGCAUCGAUGAAGAACGCAGCAAAAUGCGAUAAGUAAUGUGAAUUGCAGAAUUCAGUGAAUCAUCGAAUCUUUGAACGCACAUUGCGCCCGCCAGUAUUCUGGCGGGCAUGCCUGUUCGAGCGUCAUUUCAACCCUCAAGCACAGCUUGGUGUUGGGACUCGCGUUAAUUCGCGUUCCCCAAAUUGAUUGGCGGUCACGUCGAGCUUCCAUAGCGUAGUAGUAAAACCCUCGUUACUGGUAAUCGUCGCGGCCACGCCGUUAAACCCCAACUUCUGAAUGUUGACCUCGGAUCAGGUAGGAAUACCCGCUGAACUUAAGCAUAUCUA
Molecule: ribosomal RNA, 500 nt
Filed under: Fusarium oxysporum
Lineage: Eukaryota; Fungi; Ascomycota; Sordariomycetes; Hypocreales; Nectriaceae
Description: eukaryotic LSU rRNA
Rfam family: 5.8S ribosomal RNA (bases 146-299)
Source: RNAcentral